UACGAAGGGGGCGAGCGUUGUUCGGAAUUACUGGGCGUAAAGGGCGCGUAGGCGGUUUGCCAAGUCAGGCGUGAAAGCCCCGGGCUCAACCUGGGAACGGCGCUUGGGACUGGCAGGCUCGAGUUCGGGAGAGGACGGCGGAAUUCCCAGUGUAGAGGUGAAAUUCGUAGAUAUUGGGAAGAACACCGAUGGCGAAGGCAGCCGUCUGGACCGACACUGACGCUGAGGCGCGAAAGCGUGGGGAGCAAACAGG
This 253-nucleotide ribosomal RNA is filed under the name uncultured bacterium. Its description in RNAcentral is "partial 16S ribosomal RNA". It matches the Rfam family "Bacterial small subunit ribosomal RNA", at positions 524 to 776 of the family's 1533-position model. The record is from RNAcentral.